RNAcentral lists this ribosomal RNA (1472 nucleotides) under metagenome. RNAcentral describes it as "bacterial SSU rRNA". It matches the Rfam family "Bacterial small subunit ribosomal RNA". The record is from RNAcentral.
AGAGUUUGAUCCUGGCUCAGGAUGAACGCUGGCGGCGUGCUUAAUACAUGCAAGUCGAACGGGGAGUUGUAUUUCGGUAUAACUUCCAGUGGCGAACGGGUGAGUAACGCGUUGGUGACCUGCCCCAAAGAGAGGGAUAACAGUUCGAAAGGACUGCUAAUACCACAUGUGGUCUAGGGAGUUAGAGAGCCCUAGAGUAAAGGAUACUUCGGUAUUCGCUUUGGGAGGGGCCUGCGUUCCAUCAGCUAGUUGGUAGGGUAAAGGCCUACCAAGGCUACGACGGAUAGGGGGCCUGAGAGGGUGGCCCCCCACACUGGCACUGAAACACGGGCCAGACACCUACGGGUGGCAGCAGUAGGGAAUAUUGCACAAUGGGCGAAAGCCUGAUGCAGCAACGCCGCGUGCGCGAUGAAGGCCUUCGGGUCGUAAAGCGCUUUUCGGGGAGAUGAGAAAGGACAGUAUCCCCGGAAUAAGUCUCGGCUAACUACGUGCCAGCAGCCGCGGUAAAACGUAGGAGGCAAGCGUUAUCCGAAUUUACUGGGCGUAAAGCGCGUGCAGGCGGUUCGAUAAGUUGGAUGUAAAAACUCCUGGCUCAACUGGGAGAGGUCGUUCAAAACUAUCGAGACUAGAGGACGGUAGAGGGGGGUGGAAUUCCCGGUGUAGUGGUGAAAUGCGUAGAUAUCGGGAGGAACACCUGUGGCGAAAGCGGCCCCCUGGGCCGUUCCUGACGCUCAGACGCGAAAGCUAGGGUAGCGAACGGGAUUAGAAACCCCGGUAGUCCUAGCCGUAAACGAUGUGAACUUGGUGUUGGUGGGGUAAAAGCCAUCGGUGCCGAAGCAAACGCGAUAAGUUCACCGCCUGGGGACUACGGCCGCAAGGUUAAAACUCAAAGGAAUUGACGGGGGCCCGCACAAGCAGCGGAGCGUGUGGUUUAAUUCGAUGUUACGCGAAAAACCUUACCCGGGCUUGACAUGCAGGUAGUAGGGUACCGAGAGGGGACCGACUCUUCGGAGAGCCUGCACAGGUGCUGCAUGGCUGUCGUCAGCUCGUGCCGUGAGGUGUCCGGUUAAGUCCGGUAACGAGCGCAACCCUCGCCAUAUGUUACAAGUGUCAUAUGGGACUGCCGAUAUAAAGUCGGAGGAAGGUGGGGAUGACGUCAAGUCAGCAUGGCCUUUAUGUCCGGGGCUACACACACGCUACAAUGGCCGGUACAAUAGGUAGCAAGACCGCGAGGUGGAGCCAAUCCUAAAAGCCGGUCUCAGUUCAGAUUGCAGGCUGCAACUCGCCUGCAUGUAGUCGGAGUUGCUAGUAACCGCGCGUCAGCAAUAGUGCGGUGAAUACGUUCCCGGGCCUUGUACACACCGCCCGUCACGUCAUGGGAGCUGGCAACACCUGAAGCCGGUAUCCUAACCCGUAAGGGGAGGAGCUGUCGAAGGUGGGGCUGGUGACUGGGACGAAGUCGUAACAAGGUA